This 466-nucleotide ribosomal RNA is filed under the name uncultured bacterium. RNAcentral's name for it is "partial 16S ribosomal RNA". It matches the Rfam family "Bacterial small subunit ribosomal RNA", at positions 28 to 507 of the family's 1533-position model. The record is from RNAcentral.
GACGAACGCUGGCGGCGUGCUUAACACAUGCAAGUCGAACGGAAAGGCCCUGCUUGCAGGGUACUCGAGUGGCGAACGGGUGAGUAACACGUGGGUGAUCUGCCCUGCACUUCGGGAUAAGCUUGGGAAACUGGGUCUAAUACCGGAUAGGAGCCAUCUUUAGUGUGGUGGUUGGAAAGUUUUUUCGGUGUAGGAUGAGCUCGCGGCCUAUCAGCUUGUUGGUGGGGUAAUGGCCUACCAAGGCGGCGACGGGUAGCCGGCCUGAGAGGGUGUACGGCCACAUUGGGACUGAGAUACGGCCCAGACUCCUACGGGAGGCAGCAGUGGGGAAUAUUGCACAAUGGGCGCAAGCCUGAUGCAGCGACGCCGCGUGGGGGAUGAAGGCCUUCGGGUUGUAAACUCCUUUCGCUAGGGACGAAGCUUUUUUGUGGCGGUACCUAGAGAAGAAGCACCGGCUAACUACGUG